UGCCUACGGGGGGCAGCAGUAGGGAAUCUUCCACAAUGGACGAAAGUCUGAUGGAGCAACGCCGCGUGAGUGAAGAAGGGUUUCGGCUCGUAAAGCUCUGUUGGUAGUGAAGAAAGAUAGAGGGAGUAACUGGCCUUUAUUUGACGGUAAUUACUUAGAAAAUCACGGCUAACUACGUGCCAGCAGCCGCGGUAAUACGUUGGUGGCAAGCGUUGUCCGGAAUUAUUGGGCGUAAAGCGAG
RNAcentral lists this ribosomal RNA (241 nucleotides) under uncultured bacterium. RNAcentral's name for it is "partial 16S ribosomal RNA". It matches the Rfam family "Bacterial small subunit ribosomal RNA", at positions 335 to 569 of the family's 1533-position model. The record is from RNAcentral.